Molecule: long non-coding RNA, 204 nt
Filed under: Lathyrus oleraceus (garden pea)
Lineage: Eukaryota; Viridiplantae; Streptophyta; Magnoliopsida; Fabales; Fabaceae
Description: Pisum sativum (pea) long non-coding RNA (PSAT_LNC022984)
Source: RNAcentral
AAAUUGAUGCACAAUCUAGUAUCAAGUCAACUUAUCACACUGUGAAAGCAAAGAAGUUAUCCAUACCAUGACAUACACCUCUAGGCCUAGAACAAUUAAAUCACUCAUAACAAUUACAUGCAAAAAGUAAUUUUUUUAUUUCUUAUUUUUAAAUUCUAAAAUAAAAAAGAACUAAGAUAAAAACAAAAAACAAAAAACAAAAAU